RNAcentral lists this ribosomal RNA (468 nucleotides) under uncultured bacterium. RNAcentral describes it as "partial 16S ribosomal RNA". It matches the Rfam family "Bacterial small subunit ribosomal RNA", at positions 28 to 507 of the family's 1533-position model. The record is from RNAcentral.
GACGAACGCUGGCGGCGUGCUUAACACAUGCAAGUCGAACGGAAAGGCCCUGCUUUUGUGGGGUGCUCGAGUGGCGAACGGGUGAGUAACACGUGAGUAACCUGCCCUUGACUUUGGGAUAACUUCAGGAAACUGGGGCUAAUACCGGAUAGGAGCUCCUGCUGCAUGGUGAGGGUUGGAAAGUUUCGGCGGUUGGGGAUGGACUCGCGGCUUAUCAGCUUGUUGGUGGGGUAGUGGCUUACCAAGGCUUUGACGGGUAGCCGGCCUGAGAGGGUGACCGGCCACAUUGGGACUGAGAUACGGCCCAGACUCCUACGGGAGGCAGCAGUGGGGAAUAUUGCACAAUGGGCGGAAGCCUGAUGCAGCAACGCCGCGUGCGGGAUGACGGCCUUCGGGUUGUAAACCGCCUUCGCCUGUGACGAAGCGUGAGUGACGGUAAUGGGUAAAGAAGCACCGGCUAACUACGUG